AUGGUGAUGCCCAAUGGGAUCAGUCGAAACUACUGGAAGAGCACCGCCGCAAACUCCCGCGGUGAGAAGGAGAUCAUCAUCUUCUUCGGUGCCAUCUUCAGCGGAGAAGCGCGCAAGGUCCUUGUCAACUUUCAGCUCAAGCCUAGCAAGAACAACCAAAAGUUCAACGCCACCAUAGCCGAGGCCCAGCUCAGCUACAACGCCCAGCAGGGCCUCCAAACCCAAACCCCCAGGAAUAUCAUCAUGACACGCGCGCCCGAACCCACUGGUUCCCCGAGCGUCGACAGCGCCAUCCUGCAUGCCGAGGAGGUGCGCCAGCAGGUCGUCCUCGCGGUCCGCGGGGUCAGUGAGCUAGCCCAAAAACAUAGGCUGGAGGAGGCGCGCUACGAGCUGAAUGAUGCAAAGAAAGCUGUGGAGAAGAUCAUGCUGAACGACGGCCAGAAUAUGGUGAGCGUUCUCCGCGCCGAGUUGCUGCAGCUGAUCAAGCUCACGCAGUCCAUGGAGCUCUACAAGGAGCAGGGCCGCCCCUACGUCCUCGGAACGGAGACGUCACACAGCGCACAGCGUGCCGCAGGCCAUGGAGACACGGUAGCCGUCAGCCUCUACGACACUCCACGCAUGAUCACCUACCUCCAGCAGGCCAAGCAGAUCGAGAACGACCCCAAAGCGCUGGUGCCCUCCGCCGACGAAGACGUCAAGCAUGAGAUCGCUGCAAACCCACUCGCUGCCUUUGCCGGCCCCCUCGACAUCUACCUCGAAAAUGCUAUGAAGGCAUUGCAAGCAAUCCAGAAUAUCGUCCACAGCCACACCAACAACACCUAG
RNAcentral lists this ribosomal RNA (822 nucleotides) under Triticum aestivum (bread wheat). Its description in RNAcentral is "partial small subunit ribosomal RNA". Lineage: Eukaryota; Viridiplantae; Streptophyta; Magnoliopsida; Poales; Poaceae. The record is from RNAcentral.